GAAGCGCGACCCCGUGGCACCGCGCAUCUGCGUGUCGUCACUGCUGCAAUCCGAGCGACCCACUACGCCAAGCCGCCGUCCUCCUGCCCAAGCUUCCCACUCGAGCGCCCCGACGCCAGCAGAUCUUAUCCGGUCGCGACGGCGCGACCGCCCUGCAGCAGCCGAGCUCCCGUCGCCGUCCGAGCCGCCACCGCCCUCCGUCCCAACGAGCUGCUUGCUGACCGUCGCUGAACCGCCGCCUUCUUGCUGCUACUGCCGCCGUCGGCCGCCCACCGCGUCUCCGCCGCUGAGACGCCAACGUGCGAAGAAACCCUAGGGUUUCAGCCACGAAUCGGGUCGCGCCAGGUCGGACCGGAGCCUCCAAUCGGGUAGGGUUUUAGGCGAAUUUGGGCUUUUGGGCUUGUGGGUUUUUGGACUUGGGCUGGUUUAGUAUAGGCUUGUGGGCCUGUUUUCUUUUAAAAAGGGAGGAGGGGCACCUCUUGGGUUGGGCCCGCAAUUCGGGCCCACCUGCCCCAUUCGGACCGAACUCGGGUCCGGUCGAUCCGCGUUGACCGGGUCGGGUCGAAUCGAACCCGACCCGGUUCACCUUUUUAAAUCUAAAAUUAAUUUUAAAAAUUAAAAAAUAUUUUCUUUAAAAAAUUAAAAAUUAAAAAAAUAUUUAAAUAUUAAAAAAAUUCCAAAAUCCAAAAAAAAUUAAAAUAAUUAAAAAAAUGUUUAAAAAAUUAAAAAUUAAUUAUUUUUCUUUUAAAAAUUAAAAAAAAAUUUAAAAAAAAUUAAAAAUUUCGAAAAUCCAAAAAUGAUGGGAUUUGGUUAGGAAUUGCUAUCUUGCUUUCUUAGUGUAAUUAGAUAUUUAUUUGCUCGUAUAUUGAUUAUGUCGAAUAUUUAAUUUGCUUAUAUAAUUAUGUUUAAUUGCACGUGUUUAAUUUUAUUGCAAUUAGGAUCUUGGUAGUUAUGAUUAUUACUUUAAUGAUUGCGCACCCGCAUGAUCACCUCUUAUGUUAGUGGGUAAGUAUAAAAUCAAUUCAAACUGUCUGCCAAAAAUCAUUUUGUUAAAAUGAACAAGAUUAGGUACCGAAAGGGCACUAAUUGGUUAAUUAGUGUAAUCAAGUCCCCGAACCUAGAUUCUCUGGUUGCGUAGGAAGUGAGGCACGCUCCCAUGCCUCACUUGGUUUCUAGCCGACCCCAAUAGGCUAGUGGCGACUCCUUUUGUGCAAAAUUCAUGAAAAAUAUCCCAACGUCACACGGGGUAUGGGCUUGGGAGAGCUCGCGCCUAAUCAUAUCCACAUAGGCCCGUCCUUUGGGCAAUACCCCUAAAUCUGUUCCCUCCCCCCGAGGGUAGGUCGCGACAGCUUGGCGACUCCGCUGGGGACGUGGUUUUAAACUUUAGAGGACUUAGGCCAAAAUUAAUCUUGUUCAAAAAUAUUUUGUUUGGCAGCGAGGAUUCCAGGUACGUCCAUAACAUUAUAGGUGUUAAAUGUUUUUGCAGAAUGGGAGGUAUAAGGGGAAGUGUUUGCUCACCUUUGUCUUGCAGGGAGGUGUAGGAAUGUAUGGUUUAUUUUUCAUGUAUGAAGUGCUGAUUGUUUAUAAAUUGUCAUGCCUGCAUCCCCUGCAUUGCACUACACUAUAGCACACACUACCUGCCGCCGGACCUGGGCCGCAUAGGAUCAUUUAGGAUGGUGUUGAGGUGGAUACCACUCCGACUACAACCGCGUAGUACGAGUCGCCCAUCUCUACCCCGAAAUUUCUUCCUUCACGUCAAAGGUACCCACCCCAGUCUGCAACUGCGCGACACGGGUCGGUUCCUUGACGAAGCCGGAGUCAUGGGUAACCCGACCUAGCCGCGACCUUGCUGGUUCAGUUCGGUAAUCCUAUGGCUCCAUUUUGGGCCAUAUAGAGUAGAAAUCGAACCACAUCUCAUGUGCAUGUCUAUGUAAAAUAAAUAAAAAAUAAAAAACAAAGGUCGGCACCCAUUGUAAGUGUCAUUUUCCUUUUUAUUUGUUCAUUUUGUAUUGUAUUUUCAUCUUAAAAUUCGCGAGAAUCAAUCGCAUGUCCUCGGUGAUGCAAGCUUAUGAUUGAAAAAUUGGCAAUCGCUUUUGACAAGUGAGCAUUUGAAUGCAAGUUCUAAGCAUUUUGAUUUGGCCCUGUUGAACACAUAGUUUUGUUUAAACUUCUAAUUAUGGGCUCAAAAUCAUUUUGAAAAAAAAAAAAAGAAAAAAAACUUUCAAGUUGUGAUUUUAUAUUUGGGCACAAAAAUUGAAAUUGCAUUUUUUUUUUUAUCAAAUUUUCUCAUUCUUAUAUUUUGGGACUAUAAUGCAAAUCAUUUUGUGUAUAAAUUCCUCAAAAUAGAAAUCACUUCAUUUUUCUAGGAGUAAAAUCACAAAUCAAUCUUUCAAAAAUCAAAGACAUUUUUGCAUUACGAAACUUUUGGAAUAAAAGUGGACAUUCGAUUGAUGGUCGUGGAUUGAUAAUUUUAAUGAUAUAUUCUCUUAUGAUAAAAUCUUGGCGAAAUACUAAAGUCCUGUAAUAAUGAUUGUGGGGCAUGUAUCGUCGCCUCGAUUUUAUUGUAAGAAGUGACGUCAUUAAAAUAUUAUUUUCUCUCAUUCACAUAUUGACAUUGUCAUCUUUUUGCAGGUUACACGUGAUGCUCCAUGACAUUCUCGUGUUUGACUACAUAGAGAAGUGAAUUAUGGGGCUAGAACGAGAGUUGAUUUUUACUCUUAUCUAUACAAGAGUUUCUCGCAUUUUAUCAUUGUUUUUAUUCUUGUUAAGAAUCUUGUUUUCCCUUUUGGGUUUUGGUCGCGAAUCCAAUUGAUGCUUUGGUAAAUCAUGCGACUCAUUUUUUUAUGAUGGAAUUCAAUUUCGUGAAAAUCAUCCAAAAAAAAAAAGAAAGAAAGAAAGAAAAAAAAAACAAAUUCAGAAAUGUUUCAAGCAAACAUUUAUGUCUACCUUCCAAAACGAAUUUCAAGAAAACUUUGCUUAAGACCCUCUCUUCACAAAAUCGCUUUCUUCAGUAGGACGAUGAGUUUAUUUGAGAUCGACAUUUGCUCAUUCUAAAAGAUAAAAGUGUAGACUUAUAGAACUUGAGGAGUAAGCAUGCGUUGAAACAUCCUCGGUGCCAAUUUUCCAUAGAGGCGGGACGAAGUUGAAUUUCAUUCUAGGAAGUUUUGUUAUUCGCAAAUUUCUUAGAUGCCUAAACAACCCAUCGAUCUCAUUCACUUUGCAUGAUGAGACAAAUGAAUGGAGUUGCCAAGCAUCCAAAAAUGCGAAAUUGAAGGAAGAGUAAAUUGUAUCGAUUCCAGUUAUUCAUUUCUAAUACCGUUUCUGACAUGACUUUCUUUUCAUUGUCAAGGAGAUAUCAAGAGCGCCAAGUUUUGUAACGUUCCCAACAAACACGAUGGAGCACUUUUAAGUCAUGUUCAUCUUAAACAAAAAAAGAUUCAAAUGAAACAAAGGAGCAAUAUUCCUCCAUGAGAGAUACCUCGGGAUGUUGAUCGCCCGACUUUAAAAAGGAUGUAUCUCGUUCCUAAACUUGAUUCUCUUCAGCAUAAAAAAAUGACAUGUCCUUUUUCUUUGAUACAGGACGGGUUCGAACAUAACAAAGGAUUGUCAAAUGAAGAGUGGCAGAGCAACAUCUGAUUUUUUUUUUAAAAAAAAAUCUCUCAUCUCCCCACAAACAAAGUGUGCUGGAACAACAUUGUCAAAUUCAUCAAGAAGGAUGUAUCGUUCCUUUGUUGAACCUAACUAAAAAUAGAGAUAACUCAUUUCAUCUCCCUUCUUAUAGGGUGAUAUAAAAUAAAAAAGGGUUGCACUUAACCGUAGAAUCGGCGCCUUCUACCAAGGAAUCAGGAAAACAUCAAACACUUAAGGGCAAAUGCAAGGGAAGGGUAUUGUUGAGUUGCCAAAUAUCCAUGAAGGUGAAUCCAAGAGAUGUUAGCGUCAAAAGGAUGAAAGCGAGUGAAGGGUAAUAAUGUAUCGUUUCCAACAUUUCAAUCCCUAAGGAGCUUUGCACUAACAUAUUCUUUUACAUUCUUUACAGGAUUAUCGGGUCGCCAUGCUGCAGGUAAGUACCCUUCUUCUCAGUCUUUUUUUUUAAGUAAAAAAAAAAAAAAAGAAAGAGAAAAAAAAGAGAAUUUCCUUUACAAAAGAGAACUUUUGGGCUUUCCUAAAAAAAAAUGAAUAAUAAUUGAGAAAAAAAUUACAAACCUUUUGAACAUCCUUUCUAUCUCAAAAUUGUUUUCUUGUCUUGUGGAUUAUUCAUUUUGAAUCAAAAUUCCCUAUGGAGAUUGAUAUACUCGAAUGAUAUCGGCAGAGUGAAAUGGAAAUGUUGACCAUGCCAAACAAGAAAUGCUUAGGAUGAAGAAAGGCAAGCUCAUUUCCAAACACGUCCUUUAAACACUUUUGAGAGUUGAGCAUUAUUCAAACACUUUUGAGAGUUGAGUGAAAAGAGACCUUCUCUUAGGACAAAUGAUUCAUUCGCAUUGAGCGCAAAGAUAGAAAUGAUAAAGGUGUUGCCUUCAUCAAUCCCAAGCAUUGCACUGAUCUCUUGUUACCCCUUUGGGUUGGAAAAAAAGAUGAUCCUUCAAAGUACCCCUAUCGAGAACGACCCUACAUUGGGGCAACAUAGGAGGUUACGGUCGUGUUGUAAAACGAAAGGUUGAGAAAGAUUCUAUUACUUUCACUUACAUCAAUCUUCUUGUGGUAGCUUCAGAGGAAUUCUCAUCGAAGCUUGACUCAUCCCAAGGUGAAGAAUAGCAUUUCCUUCUCUACCCAAACACUGAUACCCAUUGCUAUAACCAAUUUGGGCCUGAUUAUUCAUUUAUGAAUCCCGAGCAGUGAUCAUCUCCCUUCACUGGGGCAAGGCAUAAGUAUUGACCAAAUAUAAUUGACAAUCACAGGAAAAUGUGAAAAGCAUCUCAAAAGUCAUAAGCUACCAAAGUUCAAAGAGCAAAAAGCUCGACAAACUAGGGGGCAUGAAAAAGCAGUGUGCCUAGUAAAAGCAAGGCCAAUGCCCGUCAAUAAAAAGAGCCAAAAGGCCGCAUCUUAUGUGAAAGAAAAAUUAUCAAAAUCCAAGUGCCUGCGAAAAAAAAAAUCAUCGCAAAUGACAAAGGAAAUUAGAGAAAAGAGCAAAGCUCUCAUGCAGAAAUGAUCAGUGAAUGAACUCUCGAGAUGUGCUGUGUUUCAAGAGCCAAAUGAUUUCGAAAGGUCAAGUGACCCGGUCACGAUGCCAUGAUGAUCACUGACUCUUAAAGACCCUCUUGAAAAUUUUAAGCCUUUCAAGCCUUUCCCGAGCCAACAUUAUAACCCUUUUCCGAAGCCUCUUCUGAUUGGGAUGAUUUGAGUGAAAAUGAGAAUACCACAAAGAAGCUACUGCUUGAAGGAGUGGAAAUAAUUCUAUCUUGUCUUAUCUUCCAAGUUCUCGACUCGUAAACCCAAUGAAGAUAGCGACAAAUGUUCCUUUAUUGGCCUCAAAGCAAUCAUUCCUUUGUGUAAGCCCUAACCAAGCCUAUAUUGCGAUCCUUUCAAAAGACCUUUUUGAUCAAUCAGAUUGUGCUCAUUGCGAAUGUUUCCGGAAGCCUUCGACAUAGGCUAUGUGAGAUACUUUCAGCAAUCAGUUACUUCCCACAUGAAUGGAUGGGAUCAAUUAACCAUUUUAUCGAGAGUAUGUGAGAAGCCCUUUCUGACUAAAAAGCUCCAGUUUGGCAUGCUUAAUGAGUCUUUUUCACAAAUAGAAAUCAUUCUGGUAAGAACUUGACUCAUAGAGAAUUUGAUGAUUAACGAUGCAUCCACGAGCAAGAUGACAAUUUUGCGCCACAUGAUCCUGAUUGAAAUAAAAUAUUUUUCCAAAGCAGUCAGACUUAGCUUGAUUAGCUUGUUCAAUUAAUGCUGCAAUAUUUCUAAUACGACGUCCCUAAUGACAUUUGCCCAAGUUGAGUUUCACAGGAUUCCUCAGUGAAGCCAUGCAGUUUUCAGGGGAUUAGCGGGUGCUUCCCUAAAAAUCAAAGGUUCAUGGUCAACCUUAAACCAUGCCAUCUCCAAAGGUUCAUGGUUAGCCUUAAACCAUCUCAUCUCCAAAGGUUCAUGGUCAGCCUUAAACCAUGUUAUUCACACGGUUGGUGGGUUUAUCCUUAAACCACGGGGUUGGUGGCUUUCCUAAACCACACGGUUUGUGGGUCUUUCCUAAACCACACGGUUGGUGGGUCUAUCCUUAAACCACGGGGUUGGUGGCUUUCCUAAACCACACGGUUGGUGGGUUUAUCCUUAAACCACACGGUUCGUGGGUCUAUCCUUAAACCACACGGUUCGUGGGUCUAUCCUUAAACCACACGGUUGGUGGGUCUAUCCUUAAACCACACGGUUCGUGGGUCUAUCCUUAAACCACACGGUUCGUGGGUCUAUCCUUAAACCACACGGUUCGUGGGUCUAUCCUUAAACCACACGGUUCGUGGGUCUUUUCCUAAACCACAGGGUUCGUGGGUUUACCCUUAAAUCACAAGGUUAGUGGGUUUAUCUUUAAACCACGGGGUUGGUGGCUUUUCCUAAACCGCACAGUUCGUGGGACUAUCCUUAAACCACAAGGUUCAUGGUCAACCUUAAACCAUGUUCGUGGGUCUUUUCCUAAACCACAGGGUUCGUGGGUUUACCCUUAAAUCACAAGGUUAGUGGGUUUAUCUUUAAACCACGGGGUUGGUGGCUUUUCCUAAACCGCACGGUUCGUGGGACUAUCCUUAAACCACAAGGUUCAUGGUCAACCUUAAACCAUGUCAUCUUCUUAGGACCCGAUGGGCUUUCCGUAGCCUGGAGUCCUUCAAUCCCCUUCUUAUGACUCGGUGAGCUUUCCGUAACCCGGAGUCCUUCAAUCCCCUUCUGAUGACCUGGUGGGCUUUCCGUAGCCCGGAGUCCUUCAACCCCCUUCUUAUGACCCGGUGGGCUUUCCGUAGCCCGGAGUCCUUCAACCCCAUUCUUAUGACCCAGUGGGCUUCCCGUAGCCCGGAGUCUUUCUUCCUCGUAUUGACAAGACGCGCUUUCAUAGUUAUGAGUCAUUUUCAUCGACCUGAUGCGUGCCUAUACACUCAGGGUCUCUCUAUCGCCCAAAUAAUUUAGGUGUCUUUUGUCUUUGAAUGCAACCUCUUAGAGCUCCCAUUCAAAGAGGGGCAGCUGUUGACACCUAAAUUUUACAAUUUUAUUAUGUGCAAAAUUAGGAAUUAGUCACUAAAACAAAAAAAAAAAACAAAAAAAAAAAACAAAAGCAAAAACAACAAAAAGAAAAGAAAAAAAAGAAAAAGAAAACGUGGAAGGGGCCGAGCCCGUUUCCUUCUUGGCCCGGCCCCCGUUGGCCUCUGUCCUUCUCCAACUUGUUUCGCGUGCGAAACCUGCAAAAAAGAAAAGCAGCAGCAGGGCAGAAAAAGAAGAAAGGACAGAAUAGAGAGGAGACAAAAAAAAGAGGGAGAGAGCUCGAGGGAAGGGGGGAUGGAGUGAACACAGGGGAGAGCAGAGAAAAAGCGAGAGAGAAACCGGAGGGAGAAAGACAGAGAGAAAUCAGGUCGGGGAAGAAUCCGAGAAGGGAGGCCUCGUCGCCUCAACUCGAGCUCUUCCGAGCCGCCGCUCCUAGUCCCCUCGCCGUGCCGCCACCGCUCCUGCAACCAGCUUCGUCGCUGACGCCGCAGCGACUACUGGAGAAACCGAGCAGCUCGCCGCCAAAGCUACUUGCAAAUCUGCCCAGCGGCGACACCGCCGCCGCUGCUCGGCCCUUCGCAACGCCAGCAACCCGCGAAGCCGGCACCGUUGCUGCCCGAACAAACCAGAUCUGAAGGAAGAGGGCAGCGGCGGCGCUACCCGACGCCGUCCGAGCCGCUGCCCUCCGCACGCCAUCCCAACAGCCUGCCUCUGCCGACCACCACUACGCCGUGCCUCCGCCUCUGCCCAGAUCCGCCGGCCACGCCUCUGCCCAGAUCUACCGUGUCGAAGCGCGACCCCGUGGCACCGCGCAUCUGCGUGUCGUCACUGCUGCAACCCGAGCGACCCACUACGCCAAGCCGCCGUCCUCCUGCCCAAGCUUCCCACUCGAGCGCCCCGACGCCAGCAGAUCUUAUCCGGUCGCGACGGCGCGACCGCCCUGCAGCAGCCGAGCUCCCGUCGCCGUCCGAGCCGCCACCGCCCUCCGUCCCAACGAGCUGCUUGCUAACCGUCGCUGAACCGCCGCCUUCUUGCUGCUGCUGCCGCCGUCGGCCGCCCACCGCGUCUCCGCCGCCGAGACGCCAACGUGCGAAGAAACCCUAGGGUUUCAGCCACGAAUCGGGUCGCGCCAGGUCGGACCGGAGCCUCCAAUCGGGUAGGGUUUUGGGCGAAUUUGGGCUUUUGGGCUUGUGGGUUUUUGGACUUGGGCUGGUUUAGUAUAGGCUUGUGGGCCUGUUUUCUUUUAAAAAGGGAGGAGGGGCACCUCUUGGGUUGGGCCCGCAAUUCGGGCCCACCUGCCCCAUUCGGACCGAACUCGGGUCCGGUC
This 8500-nucleotide long non-coding RNA is filed under the name Eucalyptus grandis. RNAcentral's name for it is "long non-coding RNA (EGRA_LNC006371)". Lineage: Eukaryota; Viridiplantae; Streptophyta; Magnoliopsida; Myrtales; Myrtaceae. The record is from RNAcentral.